This 485-nucleotide long non-coding RNA is filed under the name Mus musculus (house mouse). RNAcentral describes it as "predicted gene, 32364". Lineage: Eukaryota; Metazoa; Chordata; Mammalia; Rodentia; Muridae. The record is from RNAcentral.
CAGGCACACUUCAGGAUGGAGCUCAGGAGCAGAGGAAAGACUGUGGUCAGGGAGAGAGGGGAUUCUCAGACUACGGCAGCAUUUGACAGACGUGGAAAGUGGUUUAUGUGAAAAAACCCCAUGGAUUCUGAAGGAGGGGUGACCUUCAGGACCACCAGGCUAGAUGUUCCAGAGACUGUGACCUACAAGAGGCGUAAACUUGAGCCCAUGGCAAGGAAAUCGCUGCAGUAAGUCCCGGCUCUUUCACCAUCUGGCUGUGUCAUCUAGGAAAAUGCACUUGUUCUCUCUGAAGUAUAGGAUGGCAAGAGGGCCACUUGUCAUCUUCAGCCAAGGCGCAGCCAGAAGUUACAAACCUGAAACAGUGAUGGUGGGCCCAACGAAGAAAGGCAUGAUGGGAAACUGCCCGAGCAACACAGGGGCCCUAGGAGCCGCGCCUUGCCAACAGGUAGCCUAAAUUUACAUGAGACCACAAAGAGUUCCUGACA